Molecule: transfer RNA, 82 nt
Filed under: Dreissena polymorpha
Lineage: Eukaryota; Metazoa; Mollusca; Bivalvia; Myida; Dreissenidae
Description: transfer RNA serine (anticodon GCU)
Rfam family: tRNA
About the family: Transfer RNA (tRNA) molecules are approximately 80 nucleotides in length. Their secondary structure includes four short double-helical elements and three loops (D, anti-codon, and T loops).
Source: Rfam by way of RNAcentral
GACGAGGUGGCCGAAUGGUUAAGGCGAUGGACUGCUAAUCCAUUGAGUUCUCCCCGCGUGAGUUCGAAUCUCAUCCUCGUCG